Molecule: ribosomal RNA, 198 nt
Filed under: uncultured bacterium
Lineage: Bacteria
Description: partial 16S ribosomal RNA
Rfam family: Bacterial small subunit ribosomal RNA
Source: RNAcentral
ACGCUCGACACCUACUGGAGGCAGCAGUGGGGAAUAUUGCACAAUGGGGGAAACCCUGAUGCAGCGACGCCGCGUGAGCGAAGAAGUAUUUCGGUAUGUAAAGCUCUAUCAGCAGGGAAGAAACUGACGGUACCUGACCAAGAAGCACCGGCUAAAUACGUGUCAGCAGCCGCGGUAAUCUGAGCGGGCUGGCAAGGC